RNAcentral lists this ribosomal RNA (449 nucleotides) under uncultured bacterium. Its description in RNAcentral is "partial 16S ribosomal RNA". It matches the Rfam family "Bacterial small subunit ribosomal RNA", at positions 328 to 793 of the family's 1533-position model. The record is from RNAcentral.
GGGCCAGACUCCUACGGGAGGCAGCAGUGGGGGAUAUUGCACAAUGGGGGAAACCCUGAUGCAGCGACGCCGCGUGUGGGAAGACGGUCUUCUGGAUUGUAAACCACUGUCCCCAGGGACGAAAAUGACGGUACCUGGGGAGGAAGCUCCGGCUAACUACGUGCCAGCAGCCGCGGUAAUACGUAGGGAGCGAGCGUUGUCCGGAUUUACUGGGUGUAAAGGGUGCGUAGGCGGCUGUGCAAGUCAGUAGUGAAAUCCAUGGGCUUAACCCAUGAACUGCUAUUGAAACUGCACAGCUUGAGUGAAGUAGAGGUAGGCGGAAUUCCCGGUGUAGCGGUGAAAUGCGUAGAGAUCGGGAGGAACACCAGUGGCGAAGGCAGCCUACUGGGCUUUAACUGACGCUGAGGCACGAAAGCGUGGGUAGCAAACAGGAUUAGAUACCCGUGUAA